CCCUUUCUGACGAACCAUGAUGUCAUUUAUUUGGUGUUGUGGGGAAUCAGGACUGUUACUUUGAAAAAAUUAGAGUCGUUUAAAGCAGGCUCACGCUUGAAUACAUUAGCAUGGAAUAAUGAAAUAGGACGUUUGGUUCUAUUUUGUUGGUUUCUAGGAUCGACGUAAUGAUUAAUAGGGAUAGUUGGGGGCAUUAGUAUUCAAUUGUCAGAGGUGAAAUUCUUGGAUUUAUUGAAGACUAACUACUGCGAAAGCAUUUGCCAAGGAUGUUUUCAUUAAUCAAGAACGAAAGUUAGGGGAUCGAAGACGAUCAGAUACCGUCGUAGUCUUAACCAUAAACUAUGCCGACUAGGGAUCGGAUGAUGUUAAUUUUUUAAUGACUCAUUCGGCGCCUUACG
RNAcentral lists this ribosomal RNA (398 nucleotides) under uncultured Glomeromycotina. Its description in RNAcentral is "SSU rRNA". It matches the Rfam family "Eukaryotic small subunit ribosomal RNA", at positions 697 to 1092 of the family's 1831-position model. The record is from RNAcentral. Lineage: Eukaryota; Fungi; Glomeromycota.